AGAAAGAAGUAGGAGGGCUUCAGGGAUUCAGCGGAGGAGACUGAAAGCCUGAGAGACGAUGCCUCUGAGAAGGUUACAGACCUUGGGAGAAAGCGCUUUCACCUCCUCACCACAGACACUCUCGACUGUGGACUCAGGACACUAAGCCAGAAAGCUCUCACCAUGGGGCAGCAAUGUGGAUUUAGUAAGCAUAGCCCACGGGCACUCAUUUUGAAGACACUAGGAGAACUUCAAAGCCAGGUUUGUUCUUCUGCCUCUGGUGACAUUUUUAAAAUUUCAGCACUGUUUUUUUUUUUAAUUGAUUCUUUGUGAAUUUCAUAUCAUGCACCUCAGUCCUGCACAUCUCCUGUCCCCUCCCUCCCUCCAACCUCCACCCUUCCCCAACAAAGAAAAAUAAGUCCCCACUAUGGAAGCUGUAGUGUGCCAUCGUGUGUCCUUUUGUCCACACUUCUUUGCUUGCAAGUGCUCAUUGCAUUGACUUUGUUGGUCUGGUACGAGUCAGGCCUCUGGCUUCUGCUAUGCUAACGAUGCUAGAACCUUACUGAGACUCCUCUAGGGUAGACUGUUGUCACCCCGUGUGUCAUGGAGACCCUGUAGUUUUGGAUCUGCAGGACUGGCUUCUUCACGUACUCCAGCAGUUCAUUGAUGGGAUAGACGUGGGGUGGGCUAACUCAAAGCCCUGGAUCUGGGCCUGAGAGGUGUCUGAGCUGCUCAGCCCACCAGCUCUCCAGUUCUUGUGGCCUUUGGAUUGGCUCGCCAGCAACCCCCUCUCCCAGGGCUAGCUCUCCUGGCUGACCAGGUCGGUCCUUAUAUUUGCUUUAGGAACCUGACAAGACUGACUAGCCAUCUCUAGCAUUCAGAUAGGUGGAACUUCAUUGUGCUGAAGUUAUGUUUGAGCACCCUCUGCUGGACAAAUCAGAUGCUCUAUGACUACCAACAAUGUACCAGUGGUAUUCGUCUCUUGCAGAUCUGGAAGAAAAUGAAAUUUAGAUGUGAGCGAGCAGUCUCCUUCCUGCUGCUGCAGCUGCAAGCUGCUCCUGCCGCCCAUGCCUUCUCUACUGCCAUGCCUUCCCUACCACAAGGGCCAGAACUCUCACACUGAAAGCCAGAAUAAAUCCUUCCUCUCUUCGGUUGGUUGUUGUCAGGAGAAGGCAGCAGCUGGCAUCAAUGGUGUGGUGAGGAGAGAAUCAAGUUUCCUUCUCCAGUUCAAACAGACGAAAGUGAAGCGACAUAGGCUCAAGGACAGGGUCACUGGGCUAGCGCCACACCAUGGAGCCAAACCCCGAGCCUUCUAAAUUGUGAGCUGGGCAUGGUGGUUCACCCCAGGAAUCGCAGCACUGAGGGAUGAAGGCGAGAGAGUCACUGUGGGUGUGACAUCAGUCUGGCCUGAAGUCUGAGACUGUUUUUUUAAAAAGAAAACAUUUUUUUAUGUCAUAUAUUUAAUUAUAUAAAGAUUCUGUUGUUUUGUUGUUGUUGUUGUUAAAAUUCAGCCAGGAAAUUUCCAUCUGUCUGGUGUUAAUUGGUUGUUUUUCAGCACUAAUUGGGAAAUGAUAUAUUUUUAUUGUUUUAUAAAUAGAGUAAAACCCCUCAGAAACUGCUGGGGAAAUUUAAACAAGGAAA
RNAcentral lists this long non-coding RNA (1620 nucleotides) under Mus musculus (house mouse). RNAcentral's name for it is "predicted gene, 32063". The record is from RNAcentral. Lineage: Eukaryota; Metazoa; Chordata; Mammalia; Rodentia; Muridae.